Molecule: ribosomal RNA, 668 nt
Filed under: Streptomyces sp. Pia1s5
Lineage: Bacteria; Bacillati; Actinomycetota; Actinomycetes; Kitasatosporales; Streptomycetaceae
Description: bacterial SSU rRNA
Rfam family: Bacterial small subunit ribosomal RNA
Source: RNAcentral
GGUGGAUUAGUGGCGAACGGGUGAGUAACACGUGGGCAAUCUGCCCUUCACUCUGGGACAAGCCCUGGAAACGGGGUCUAAUACCGGAUAACACUCCUGCCUGCAUGGGCGGGGGUUAAAAGCUCCGGCGGUGAAGGAUGAGCCCGCGGCCUAUCAGCUUGUUGGUGGGGUAAUGGCCCACCAAGGCGACGACGGGUAGCCGGCCUGAGAGGGCGACCGGCCACACUGGGACUGAGACACGGCCCAGACUCCUACGGGAGGCAGCAGUGGGGAAUAUUGCACAAUGGGCGAAAGCCUGAUGCAGCGACGCCGCGUGAGGGAUGACGGCCUUCGGGUUGUAAACCUCUUUCAGCAGGGAAGAAGCGAAAGUGACGGUACCUGCAGAAGAAGCGCCGGCUAACUACGUGCCAGCAGCCGCGGUAAUACGUAGGGCGCAAGCGUUGUCCGGAAUUAUUGGGCGUAAAGAGCUCGUAGGCGGCUUGUCACGUCGGAUGUGAAAGCCCGAGGCUUAACCUCGGGUCUGCAUUCGAUACGGGCUAGCUAGAGUGUGGUAGGGGAGAUCGGAAUUCCUGGUGUAGCGGUGAAAUGCGCAUAUAUCAGGAGGAACACCGGUGGCGAAGGCGGAUCUCUGGGCCAUUACUGACGCUGAGGAGCGAAAGCGUGGGGAG